AGAGCAUACGGUGGAUGCCUUGGCGCGUUGCGGCGAUGAAGGACGUGGUGAACUGCGAAAAGCUGUGGGGAGUCGUAAACAGGCCGUGAGCCACAGAUAUCCGAAUGGGGCAACCCCCCUGCCGUCAUGGGCAGGGAUUCGUUCCUGAAAGGAGUAGGGGGCGAAGGCGAACCCGGGGAACUGAACCAUCUUAGUACCCGGAGGAGGAGAGAUCAAGAGAGAUUCCCGGAGUAGCGGCGAGCGAAAGGGGACGAGCCUAAACGUUUUCAGUGGAAAGCUCGUAUGCGUUGCUGAAAGCGGGUUGUGGGGCAGUUCUGGCGGAGGAUACGACCUUCGCGGCUGCGCACGACUGGUGACGAGAAGGGUCCUGGAACGGCCCGCCAAAACCUUGUGGGAAGCUGGGAGGCCCACCUUCCAAGGCUAAAUACGUCAACGCGACCGAUAGUGAACCAGUACCGUGAGGGAAAGGUGAAAAGAACCCCCGUUACAGGGAGUGAAAGAGAACCUGAAACCGUAUGUUUACAAGCUGUCAGAGCCUCCAUGCGGGGCGAUGGCGUGCCUAUUGCAUAAUGAGCCGGCGAGUUACCGUGGGCUGCGAGGUUAACACAAGACGUGGCAGCCGGAGCGAACGCGAGUCUGAAGAGGGCGAAGAGUAGCGCGCGGUAGACCCGAAGCCGAGUGAGCUAUCCAUGGGCAGGUUGCAGCGUCCGUAACAGGACGUGAAGGACCGCACCCACUCAGGUUGAAAACUGAGGGGAGGACCUGUGGAUAGGGGUGAAAGGCCAAUCAAACUCGGAGAUAGCUGGUUCUCCCCGAAAUUGCUGUAGGGCGAGCCUCUGGUGGUGAGUGGUGGGGGUAGAGCACUGAUUGGGUUAGGGUCCUUCGCGGGAUACCGUCCCCAGUCAAACUCCGAAUCCCAUCAACGUCGAGCCAGGGAGUGAGACAGUGGGGGAUAAGCUUCAUUGUCGAGAGGGAAACAGCCCAGACCAUCAGCUAAGGUCCCCAACGGUUUGUUAAGUGGUGAAGGAUGUAGAGAUGCAGAGACAGCCAGGAGGUUGGCUUAGAAGCAGCCACCCUUGAAAGAAAGCGUAAUAGCUCACUGGUCAAGUGGCUCUGCGCCGAAAAUGUACGGGGGCUGAAACAAACGACCGAGGCUAUGGAGUCAUUCUGCGGAAUGACUGGUAGGGGAGCGUUCACUGCGCCGAGAAGUCGUUCCGUGAGGGGCGGUGGAGCGGAGUGAAGUGAAGCUGCCGGCAUGAGUAACGAGAAAACAGGUGAGAGUCCUGUUCGCCGAAAUUCUCAGGGUUCCUUGGGCAAGGCGAGUCCGCCCAGGGUUAGUCGGGAUCUAAGCCGAGGCCGAGAGGCGUAGGUGAUGGCAAACCGGAGAAUAGUCCGGUACCACCGGUUUCGUGUUUGAGCGAUGGGGGGGACGUGUCAGGAGAGGCCAGCCUGUCAGUGGUAAUACAGGUGGAACCCGGGAGGAGGUUGCUGAGGCAAAUCCCAGCAGCAGAGACUCCGAGCGGGGAGACCGGGCCGGAGGGCCAGAAGUGGUUGAGCUCCUGAGACCAAGAAAACCCCUCUAGUGAAUGGAACGGGUGUCCGUACCCGAAACCGACACAGGUAGAAAUGGAAGGGCUCCACAGGCGUGUGAGCGAACCCUCGUUAAGGAACUCGGCAACAUGACCUCGUAACUUCGGGAGAAGAGGUACCCCAUGACCGUGAGGAGAGCGAUACUCUGAGCGAGGCGGGGUGGCACAGACCAGGCCCAGGCGACUGUUUACUAAAAACAUAGGUCUCUGCGAAGGCGCGAAGCCGCAGUAUAGGGCCGUAACUAUAACGGUCCUAAGGUAGCGAAAUUCCUUGUCGGGUAAGUUCCGACCUGCACGAAUGGCGUAACGACUUGGGCGCUGUCUCAACGAGGGGCUCAGUGAAAUUGUAGUACCGGUGAAGAUGCCGGUUACCCACGACCAGACGGAAAGACCCCGUGCACCUUGACUAUAGCCUGACGUUGGGUUUUAGAGGUAUUUGUGCAGGAUAGGUGGGAGGCGGAGAAGCGGGCACGCUAGUGUCGGUGGAGCCAUCCUUGAAAUACCACCCUGAUAGUUGUGGAAUCCUCACUGCCAUCCGUGAAUCCGGAUGCAGGACAGGGUCAGGUGGGUAGUUUGACUGGGGCGGUCACCUCCCAAAGAGUAACGGAGGUGUGCGACGGUGCCCUCAGGCUGUAUAGACAUCAGUCGCAGAGUGCAAAGGCAGAAGGGCGCUUGACUGCGAGACCGACGGGUCGAGCAGGUGCGAAAGCAGGUCUUAGUGAUCCGGCGGCGCUACGUGGCAGGGCCGUCGCUCAACGGAUAAAAGGUACGCCGGGGAUAACAGGCUGAUUCUGCCCGAGAGUUCCCAUCGACGGCAGAGUUUGGCACCUCGAU
Molecule: ribosomal RNA, 2423 nt
Filed under: oral metagenome
Description: bacterial LSU rRNA
Rfam family: Bacterial large subunit ribosomal RNA
Source: RNAcentral